GGGAAUAUAGCUCAGAGGUAGAGCACUUACCAAGAAUGUGGGAGGCCCUGGGUUCAAUCCCCAGUACUACCC
This 72-nucleotide transfer RNA is filed under the name Urocitellus parryii (Arctic ground squirrel). RNAcentral describes it as "Spermophilus parryii (Arctic ground squirrel) tRNA". It matches the Rfam family "tRNA". Rfam says of the family: Transfer RNA (tRNA) molecules are approximately 80 nucleotides in length. Their secondary structure includes four short double-helical elements and three loops (D, anti-codon, and T loops). RNAcentral also lists the same sequence under 2 other names. Lineage: Eukaryota; Metazoa; Chordata; Mammalia; Rodentia; Sciuridae. The record is from Rfam by way of RNAcentral.